This 73-nucleotide transfer RNA is filed under the name Paludibacteraceae bacterium. Its description in RNAcentral is "tRNA-Thr". It matches the Rfam family "tRNA". From Rfam's summary of the family: Transfer RNA (tRNA) molecules are approximately 80 nucleotides in length. Their secondary structure includes four short double-helical elements and three loops (D, anti-codon, and T loops). Further hydrogen bonds mediate the characteristic L-shaped molecular structure. tRNAs have two regions of fundamental functional importance: the anti-codon, which is responsible for specific mRNA codon recognition, and the 3' end, to which the tRNAs corresponding amino acid is attached (by aminoacyl-tRNA synthetases). tRNAs cope with the degeneracy of the genetic code in two manners: having more than one tRNA (with a specific anti-codon) for a particular amino acid; and 'wobble' base-pairing, i.e. permitting non-standard base-pairing at the 3rd anti-codon position. Lineage: Bacteria; Pseudomonadati; Bacteroidota; Bacteroidia; Bacteroidales; Paludibacteraceae. The record is from RNAcentral.
GCCAUUGUGGCUCAGUUGGUAGAGCAACGCAUUCGUAAUGCGUGGGUCGGGGGUUCGAGUCCCCCCAGUGGCU